GGUGAACGCUGGCGGCGUGCCUAAUACAUGCAAGUCGAGCGAACAGACGAGGAGCUUGCUCCUCUGACGUUAGCGGCGGACGGGUGAGUAACACGUGGAUAACCUACCUAUAAGACUGGGAUAACUUCGGGAAACCGGAGCUAAUACCGGAUAAUAUAUUGAACCGCAUGGUUCAAUAGUGAAAGACGGUUUUGCUGUCACUUAUAGAUGGAUCCGCGCCGCAUUAGCUAGUUGGUAAGGUAACGGCUUACCAAGGCGACGAUGCGUAGCCGACCUGAGAGGGUGAUCGGCCACACUGGAACUGAGACACGGUCCAGACUCCUACGGGAGGCAGUAGUAGGGAAUCUUCCGCAAUGGGCGAAAGCCUGACGGAGCAACGCCGCGUGAGUGAUGAAGGUCUUCGGAUCGUAAAACUCUGUUAUUAGGGAAGAACAAAUGUGUAAGUAACUAUGCACGUCUUGACGGUACCUAAUCAGAAAGCCACGGCUAACUACGUG
RNAcentral lists this ribosomal RNA (497 nucleotides) under uncultured bacterium. RNAcentral describes it as "partial 16S ribosomal RNA". It matches the Rfam family "Bacterial small subunit ribosomal RNA", at positions 28 to 507 of the family's 1533-position model. The record is from RNAcentral.